Molecule: small RNA, 1214 nt
Filed under: Vigna angularis var. angularis
Lineage: Eukaryota; Viridiplantae; Streptophyta; Magnoliopsida; Fabales; Fabaceae
Description: Non-protein coding transcript
Source: RNAcentral
AUAAUAGCCCCUGGUGAAGGGAGUUGACUUGGUCAAUUUAGGUUUUAACCCUUAUUUCUUGAUUGGCCACAACGCAUAGUUGAACCAUGGUGAACCAAGGGGCAAACGAGGCUGAACGAGGUGCUGACCUAGAGUUGAAUCAAAGGUGUUGGGUCUUAAGCUUAUUGGAGCUAGGUUCGAAACGUGGCUGGCGCUGAGCGAAUGCAGUGGCACUUGAAGUCGCUGAUACAGAGGCGUGGAUGAGACCUAGGUUCAAGUUUUUCUUCUUCCUUCUUAUGGUUCCCUGUUUCAAUUAAAAGGGUAUAUAGAUAGAGUUAGGGAAGCUGAUGGGAGACUGACAAAUUUUCCCGUUUUCUUUCUUCUUGUAAGUCUUCUUUAUUCUUAGAAUAGAGUGAGAAUAGGGUGUGAUUGAUUCAGUAGGAGAUUCAACCAAGUAGAGUAGGAAAAUUCCCACCGAGCGCAAAAUAGCCACCGGUGGAGAGAGGUUCUACAGUGCGAGUGAACAUUGCAAACGAGAGUUCUUGCGAGUACAAAGUGAUAUCAAGACACGCUUUGAGUCUGUCUGCAGCCAUUUCAAUUUCUAGUUUUGUGCAUUUCUUGAUACCCAAAUCGUAGAUAUGAAGUCCUGCGCAUUUUCUGGUUUAGGUAGGUAUCUUUAAUUCAUUUCAUUAUGCACAUAAUCUGAUAUAAUCAUUUGUUUAAGAGCUGAAUUUACAUAUCACUCAUAACUUGCAUUUGCAGAGUAGGUAACACUGCACAUGCAUUUGCAUUAGAAUCAUAAUUGUAGUUUCUGAUUCAGCUUGGCUUAGUUUGAAUUGUCCUUGUUUUCAUGCAUGUAUUCAGCACCCAUUUAGAGUUUAUGCAUUCUUUAUGUUUUUUGCAUUAAAUAGAAGUCGGUAGGUUCAUUUUACAGUCAAAAUACCAUAAUUGCAUCAUAGUUGACAGUUAAAUCUGCAGCAACUCUGGUUUCACUUUUUGAUUCAUAAUGGUCUCACGGUAUUGCAUUCAAAGCUACUAUUAAGUUGCAUUUCAUGAACCCAUGAAUAGCAUCGAAAAGUAGUAUUCGACUUUCAAAAAUUCCAGCAUCAUUUGCGCUUGUUCAAUCUGGAUUAUUGCAUUCUACACAUCAUGGCUGCAACACAGAAUUUGAAUUUGUAUUCUUGAGUUAAGCUGUCACGUAGAUCUUAGGAUAAAGAAAUCAUUUUAGAUUUUGU